UAAUGCAAGUCGAACGCUUUGUGGUUCAACUGAUUUGAAGAGCUUGCUCAGAUAUGACGAUGGACAUUGCAAAGAGUGGCGAACGGGUGAGUAACACGUGGGAAACCUACCUCUUAGCAGGGGAUAACAUUUGGAAACAGAUGCUAAUACCGUAUAACAAUGACAACCGCAUGGUUGUUAUUUAAAAGAUGGUUCUGCUAUCACUAAGAGAUGGUCCCGCGGUGCAUUAGCUAGUUGGUAAGGUAAUGGCUUACCAAGGCGAUGAUGCAUAGCCGAGUUGAGAGACUGAUCGGCCACAAUGGGACUGAGACACGGCCCAUACUCCUACGGGAGGCAGCAGUAGGGAAUCUUCCACAAUGGGCGAAAGCCUGAUGGAGCAACGCCGCGUGUGUGAUGAAGGGUUUCGGCUCGUAAAACACUGUUGUAAGAGAAGAAUGACAUUGAGAGUAACUGUUCAAUGUGUGACGGUAUCUUACCAGAAAGGAACGGCUAAAUACGUGCCAGCAGCCGCGGUAAUACGUAUGUUCCAAGCGUUAUCCGGAUUUAUUGGGCGUAAAGCGAGCGCAGACGGUUAUUUAAGUCUGAAGUGAAAGCCCUCAGCUCAACUGAGGAAUUGCUUUGGAAACUGGAUGACUUGAGUGCAGUAGAGGAAAGUGGAACUCCAUGUGUAGCGGUGAAAUGCGUAGAUAUAUGGAAGAACACCAGUGGCGAAGGCGGCUUUCUGGACUGUAACUGACGUUGAGGCUCGAAAGUGUGGGUAGCAAACAGGAUUAGAUACCCUGGUAGUCCACACCGUAAACGAUGAGUGCUAGGUGUUUGAGGGUUUCCGCCCUUAAGUGCCGCAGCUAACGCAUUAAGCACUCCGCCUGGGGAGUACGACCGCAAGGUUGAAACUCAAAGGAAUUGACGGGGGACCCGCA
Molecule: ribosomal RNA, 920 nt
Filed under: Weissella confusa
Lineage: Bacteria; Bacillati; Bacillota; Bacilli; Lactobacillales; Lactobacillaceae
Description: bacterial SSU rRNA
Rfam family: Bacterial small subunit ribosomal RNA
Source: RNAcentral